RNAcentral lists this non-coding RNA (28 nucleotides) under Mus musculus (house mouse). Lineage: Eukaryota; Metazoa; Chordata; Mammalia; Rodentia; Muridae. The record is from RNAcentral.
UUGAAGGAACUUGAAGGGCUUAUUCUGC